GGCACCAUGGCUUAGCUGAUUACAGCACCUGUUUUGUAAACAGGAGAUCCUGGGUUCUACUCCCAGUGGUGCUU
Molecule: non-coding RNA, 74 nt
Organism: Gopherus evgoodei (Goodes thornscrub tortoise)
Lineage: Eukaryota; Metazoa; Chordata; Testudines; Testudinidae
Source: the annotation of a RefSeq genome assembly